Molecule: unclassified non-coding RNA, 335 nt
Filed under: soil metagenome
Description: partial contains 5.8S ribosomal RNA, internal transcribed spacer 2, and large subunit ribosomal RNA
Rfam family: 5.8S ribosomal RNA (bases 1-120)
Source: RNAcentral
GAUGAAGAACGCAGCGAAAUGCGAUAAGUAAUGUGAAUUGCAGAAUUCAGUGAAUCAUCGAAUCUUUGAACGCACAUUGCGCCCGCCAGUAUUCUGGCGGGCAUGCCUGUUCGAGCGUCAUUUCAACCAUCAAGCCCCCGGCUUGUGUUGGGGACCCGCGGCUGCCGCAGGCCCUGAAAACCAGUGGCGGGCUCGCUAGUCACUCCGAGCGUAGUAGUUACAUCUCGCUCAGGGCGUGCUGCGGGUUCCGGCCGUUAAAAGCCUUAUUUACCCAAGGUUGACCUCGGAUCAGGUAGGAAGACCCGCUGAACUUAAGCAUAUCAAUAAGCGGAGGA